Molecule: ribosomal RNA, 449 nt
Filed under: uncultured bacterium
Lineage: Bacteria
Description: bacterial SSU rRNA
Rfam family: Bacterial small subunit ribosomal RNA
Source: RNAcentral
UCCAGACUCCUACGGGAGGCAGCAGUGGGGGAUAUUGCACAAUGGGGGAAACCCUGAUGCAGCGACGCCGCGUGAGUGAAGAAGUAUUUCGGUAUGUAAAGCUCUAUCAGCAGGGAAGAAAAAAGACGGUACCUGACUAAGAAGCCCCGGCUAACUACGUGCCAGCAGCCGCGGUAAUACGUAGGGGGCAAGCGUUAUCCGGAUUUACUGGGUGUAAAGGGAGCGUAGACGGCAAUACAAGUCGGAAGUGAAAUACCCGGGCUCAACCUGGGAACUGCUUUGGAAACUGUAUGGCUGGAGUGCUGGAGAGGUAAGCGGAAUUCCUAGUGUAGCGGUGAAAUGCGUAGAUAUUAGGAGGAGCACCAGUGGCGAAGGCGGCUUACUGGACAGUAACUGACGUUGAGGCUCGAAAGCGUGGGGAGCAAACAGGAUUAGAUACCCCAGUACGG